AAACUAGUCCCUACACUUUAUAAUUAAUUCUUUUAACCCCAAAAUUAAUUCUAAUUAAUUUCUGGCUAACAAUUAAUUAAACAAAAUGAUUUCUUAUUAAUAUAUUAAUCUUUUAACAUAUUAAUAAAUUCAUUUAUAUUAAUUUAUUAAUCUUAUAAUAAAUUAAUAUCUCUCCUUUCAUAAUUUCCUUGUCCGGUUGCUAGGUUUGAGGGCAACCCAAAAGGACUGUGCUGCUAUCAAUUCAAGUACAUACCAAUUAUAGUUAUGGGCUUAGACACCUAAUCCAACAGUAUCCCACUUGGAUAAGUCUGUAACUAUAAUUGCUAGUAUGCCUUCUAAAUUUGACCAGCAAAUUGUAGCUUCCAAAAAGCUGCUGCCGAACUCUGACCCAGUCAGUUACGAGUCCUAAGAUAAGAGAUCACAUGACCCUUCGUUCUACUAGAUAUCUCUAGACAUAAGACAUGGAAUACAAUCAAUCUCUUUGUCCAGAAUCUAUGUUUCCCGAUUUCUGAUUUGUGAUGAUAUAGGACUUCUAAUCGAACACAUCAAUUAGUCCUGGCUGGGCCCAGCACAUAAGUCAACACCAAAUCAUCGAGGGGCCCACAGAUAUCGCUUUUCCGGUUAGGGCAAAAGGAACGAAUAAACAUUGACUCAUAUGCUUGUAUCUUUUACUCAUCAAACCAUACAUGACAAUACGUUUUAUAACACCAAGUUACUGAUGCGUUUUCGUAUCACCAAUGUAUAGCCGACUUGCAAAUUACAGCUCAGAUAUCUCUGAUCAUAGAUAUUAUCAUCUCAGUAUCACUCUUGAUGAAUUACAUGAAGUAAUACUCUGAGCGUGGGUUUAUCCAAUACUCAAAUCUCAAUUUCUGAGUACUCAUGAACGUUGCAGCAAAUCUAUUGCCAUGUCUAUUCUUAGACAAUCUACAAUCCAGUUCAUGACAGUCUUGAUUCACUACUUACUUCCAAAAGUACGAGCGACUGUGGAGUUUGAAUAAUCUUAUUAUUCGGGAAGUCAAAACAUGCAAAGUGAAACGCAAUAAUAAUAUUAAUCCUAUAUGGCCCCAAAGCUUUUGAGCGUAAAUAAAAACACUUUUAUUUAAACACCAUAUUGAUUACUCAUUAUUCAUUGCUUAUAGUUUCAGAAAAUCAACUUAUUACUUGAAUUAUAACCACAAUUGUCCCAUGCUCCAAGCAUGCACACUUUGGUUUCCUAUGGUCCAUACUUUGUGAAAUAAAUCAAUUGAAAAACCUUUCCAAUGAUGCUCAUUUCACAAUUCCCAAUCCCUAUUAUUAGUGUUAGAACACAAGGUUCUUGCAACUACUAGAAUAUGCUAGAUUCUAACAUUUUAUGCAACGAUCCUUUCGCAAAGUCAUAGCACAAAAGUCACCAAGACUUUGGCCAAUGAAAUUACAAAGUACUCUAUCGGAAAUUGUUACAAGAUAAUUCCAUAGACGUGAAGUCUCACAUUCAAAGUACAUUCCUUUGAACAUCCUUCUUGCAUAAAAGUUUCUAAUCUAGACACAGACUCUCAACAUCCAACUCCCAAUAUGGAGACAUUUCCAUAUUUGCCAUAUGACGACUUAUUCUUAACAGAAUCUUAUCUAUUCAUAAUAAUGUCGAUAUGGCCCAUUCAUUACUAUAUUUCCAACUACUCAUAAGCGACAAAUCCUCAAUGAACGUCAGAUUUUCCUUUGAUAGUUGUUUAAUUAUUUUAGUCAGAACCGAUUCUAAAUCCUUUUUCCCUCUUAAUACUCUAGGCAUUUGGAAAAUUUUAGAAUGGUCAAAUAUUAUGUGUCCUGUUCCCACAAUUCGAUCUAUGAAGAGAGAUGUCGUGAUCAUAAUCAAAUUUGAGAAUGCACUAUAUCUCCUUGACUAAAUUUAUUGACAUUUCUCGAUCUAAGCUUUAGAAUUUUGAAAUAAAGUAUAAUAUUCUCUCCCUUAAUUAUAGCAAAACAACUUUUCAACCAUUGCAACUUUGCAAAGUGAAUCUUUGUUUUCUAUAAUUAAUAUUGCUAACUCGCAAUACUUUACCAUAAUGAUCAUGCUCCCACUAACAUGAUGAUUAUUUUCUUACCAGCAUAACACUUAUGCUCCCACUAGCUUUGACAUGUAUUCAGAAAACAAUUAAACUUCCAGAGAACAAUGCUUAUUGAAUUCCUUAAGUUCAUAUUUCUAAUACCUAAUGCUUUGAUAAGCCUUUAUCAAAGCUUCUUAAAAUCAUACACCUUUGCCUUAGAAAGCUCAUAUGUGUGUCUAGACAAAUUCAGAACUUAUGUCACUAAGUCCCAAAUGUUCAGACUAAUUGCCAAAUCUCACAAUUCGAACUAUGGAAAGGGAUGCCGUAACCAUAAUCGAAUUUGAGAAUACAAUUUCCACAAUUGCUAUCUUCUUAAAAUCUCUCUUAGUGAAAGCAUUUCCUCACAGUCAUUUUCAUGAAGCAGGUAAUCUUAUGACACUUAGAUUUUGUGGUGUAUAAGUUCCUAUCCAUGUGAAUUUGUCAAAACCAAAGUUUGUGACAAAUCCAAACUCAUAUGGACUGAACUUUCUCAAUCUCGAUUUCUUGCCUCAUGGUAACACGAGUGCCCACCAUGUCUUCCAAGUGGUUUAUCAACUCAUCCUUACUUAUCAAUGUACUUUCCAUUGAUCAAGGUGCUAUGUCUUUAUGCAUUCACAUGAGAACUCAUAGAACUCACUUGCAUAAUUAAUUCAAUUGGAAUGGCAUAGAAAAGGAGUAUGUCAUCCACGAUAGGCUAUAAACCUCAAGUCGUGUGCUAGUGAUGAUCGAUAAGGUUUAUUCUUGAUUAGUUCUUGAAACCUUUUUCAAGAUCAU
Molecule: long non-coding RNA, 2834 nt
Filed under: Lactuca sativa (garden lettuce)
Lineage: Eukaryota; Viridiplantae; Streptophyta; Magnoliopsida; Asterales; Asteraceae
Description: long non-coding RNA (LSAT_LNC000146)
Source: RNAcentral